This 492-nucleotide ribosomal RNA is filed under the name uncultured bacterium. RNAcentral describes it as "partial 16S ribosomal RNA". It matches the Rfam family "Bacterial small subunit ribosomal RNA", at positions 29 to 507 of the family's 1533-position model. The record is from RNAcentral.
AGUGAACGCUGGCGGUAGGCCUAACACAUGCAAGUCGAACGGCAGCACAGUAAGAGCUUGCUCUUACGGGUGGCGAGUGGCGGACGGGUGAGGAAUACAUCGGAAUCUACUUUUUCGGGGGGGAUAACGUAGGGAAACUUACGCUAAUACCGCAUACGACCUACGGGUGAAAGCAGGGGAUCUUCUGACCUUGCGCGAUUGAAUGAGCCGAUGUCGGAUUAGCUAGUUGGCGGGGUAAAGGCCCACCAAGGCGACGAUACGUAGCUGGUCUGAGAGGAUGAUCAGCCACACGGGAACUGAGACACGGUCCAGACUCCUACGGGAGGCAGCAGUCGGGAAUAGUGGACAAUGGGCGCAAGCCUGAUCCAGCCAUACCGCGUGGGUGAAGAAGGCCUUCGGGUUGUAAAGCCCUUUUGUUGGGAAAGAAAAGCAGCAGGUUAAUACCCCGCUGUUCUGACGGUACCCAAAGAAUAAGCACCGGCUAACUUCGUG